GCUGGGUGUGGUGGCGGGCACCUGUAAUCCCAGCUACUCAGGAGGCUGAGGCAGGAGAAUUGCUUGAACCCAGGAGGCAGAGGUUGCAGUGAGCCGAGAUCAUGCCACUGCACUCCAGCCUGGGUGACAGAGAGAGACUCUGUCUCAA
Molecule: small RNA, 148 nt
Filed under: Papio anubis (olive baboon)
Lineage: Eukaryota; Metazoa; Chordata; Mammalia; Primates; Cercopithecidae
Description: Metazoan signal recognition particle RNA (ENSPANG00000038015.1)
Source: Rfam by way of RNAcentral